Vitis riparia (riverbank grape) is the source of this 81-nucleotide non-coding RNA. The record is from the annotation of a RefSeq genome assembly. Lineage: Eukaryota; Viridiplantae; Streptophyta; Magnoliopsida; Vitales; Vitaceae.
GUCGAUAUGCCCGAGUGGUUAAGGAGACAGACUUGAAAUCUGUUGGACUUUGCCCAUGCAGGUUCAAACCUGCUAUCAACG